CACGUAGGGGCCAAGCGUUGUCCGGAUUCAUUGGGCGUAAAGGGUGCGUAGGCGGCGCGGUAAGUCGGGUGUGAAAUCUCGGAGCUUAACUCCGAAACUGCAUUCGAUACUGCCGUGCUUGAGGACUGGAGAGGAGACUGGAAUUUACGGUGUAGCGGUGAAAUGCGUAGAUAUCGUAAGGAAGACCAGUGGCGAAGGCGGGUCUCUGGACAGUUCCUGACGCUGAGGCACGAAGGUCAGGGGAGCAAACGGG
This 253-nucleotide ribosomal RNA is filed under the name uncultured bacterium. RNAcentral describes it as "partial 16S ribosomal RNA". It matches the Rfam family "Bacterial small subunit ribosomal RNA", at positions 524 to 776 of the family's 1533-position model. The record is from RNAcentral.